AGAGCGCAAGGGGAAUGCCUUGGCAUCAGGAGCCGAAGAAGGACGUGACAAGCUGCGAUAAGCUGCGGUGAGCUGCACAUAAGCUUUGACCCGCAGAUUUCCGAAUGGGGAAACCCGGCAGAGCAAUACUCUGUCAGCGUGCGUUGAAUCAAAUAGGCGUACGCGGGGAACCGCCUGAACUGAAACAUCUAAGUAGGGCGAGGAAGAGAAAUCAACCGAGAUUCCGCUAGUAGUGGCGAGCGAACGCGGAAGAGGGCAAACCGGAGGAUUUAUCCUCCGGGGUUGUGGACAGUUUUUUAGCAACUGGAACUAGGAGAACGGUAUGGGAAGGCCGGCCAUAGCGGGUGAUAGCCCCGUAUCCGAAAGGGAAGGUUGUGCGACUGGAUCCAGAGUACCGCCGGACACGUGAAACCCGGUGGGAAGCUGGGGGGACCACCCUCCAACCCUAAAUACUACUCGAUGACCGAUAGAGGAGCAGUACCGUGAGGGAAAGGUGAAAAGGACCCCGGGAGGGGAGUGAAAGAGAACCUGAAACCUUGUGCUUACAAGCACUCAAAGCCCGUUAAAGGGUGAUGAGGUACCUUUUGUAGAAUGGUCCGGCGAGUUAUUGUUACUGGCAAGCUUAAGGCAUUCAGUGCCGGAGGCGCAGGGAGACCGAGUCUGAAUAGGGCGUAUGAAGUCAGUGGCAAUAGACCCGAAACCGGGUGACCUAUCCAUGGGCAGGUUGAAGUGGGGGUAAAACCCCAUGGAGGACCGAACGCACGCCCGUUGCAAUGGUCGGCGAUGACCUGUGGAUAGCGGUGAAAUUCCAAUCGAACUCGGAGAUAGCUGGUUCUCCCCGAAAUAGCUUUAGGGCUAGCGUUGGCUUAGAUUACCGGAGGUAAAGCACUGAAUGGGCUAGGGGCCGAUAAGGUUACUGAACCCUAUCAAACUCUGAAUGCCGGAUAAUUGAUGGCUAGCAGUCAGUCUACGUGAGAUAAGUCUCGUGGACAAAAGGGAAACAGCCCAGACCCACAGCUAAGGUCCCAAAGAUACGCUAAGUGGAAAACGAUGUGGAGUUGCGAAAACAACCAGGAUGUUGGCUUAGAAGCAGCCACUCAUUAAAAGAGUGCGUAAUAGCUCACUGGUCGAGUGGUUCUGCGCGGAAAAUGUAACGGGGCUAAGCGUAUAACCGAAGCUUGGGAUGCAGCAAUGCAUGGUAGGGGAGCGUCGAAUACGGGGUGAAGUCGUAGCGGAAGCAGCGGUGGACUGUAUUCGAGUGAGAAUGCCGGAAUGAGUAGCGAGAAUUAUGUGGGAAUCAUAAUGGCCGAAAAUCUAAGGUUUCUUGGGGAAGGUUCGUCCGCCCAAGGUAAGCCGGGAGCUAAGGCGAGGCCGAAAGGCGUAGUCGAUGCACAUACGGUUGAAAUUCCGUAGCCACCGAAACUUAAACCAGAAGGACACUUGGAGCUAUCCGAACCCGGGCGUUGGUUGACCCGGGCGUAAGGGACCGAAAUUAAGUAGGGAAGUCGGAGAAUGACGAGGCGAGAAAAGUUCUGGUGUAUGCUAAGGUGCCCGUACCGCAAACCGACACAGGUAGAUGAGGAGAGAAUCCUAAGGCCAACGGGAGAAGGGUUGUUAAGGAACUCGGCAAAAUGACCCCGUAACUUCGGGAUAAGGGGAGCCUGCGCGAGCAGGCCGCAGAGAAUAGGCCCAAGCGACUGUUUACCAAAAACACAGGUCUAUGCUAAAUCGAAAGAUGACGUAUAUGGGCUGACGCCUGCCCGGUGCUGGAAGGUUAAGAGGAGAGCUUAGCGCAAGCGAAGGUUUGAAUUGAAGCCCCAGUAAACGGCGGCCGUAACUAUAACGGUCCUAAGGUAGCGAAAUUCCUUGUCAGGUAAGUUCUGACCCGCACGAAAGGCGUAACGAUUUGGGCGCUGUCUCAGCUGUAGACUCGGUGAAGUCUUAGUACCUGUGAAGAUGCAGGUUACCCGCGACUAGACGGAAAGACCCCAUGGAGCUUCACUGCAGGUUGAUAUUGGGAUUUGAUGCAGCAUGUACAGGAUAGGUAGGAGGCAAAGAGAUGGAUACGCCAGUAUUCAAGGAGCCGCUGUUGGGAUACUACCCCUGUUGUAUUGGAUUUCUAACCGGACGACGUAGAGCCGUUGACGGGACAGUGUCAGUCGGGCAGUUUGACUGGGGCGGUCGCCUCCCAAAGAGUAACGGAGGCGCCCAAAGAUACCCUCAGCUUGGAUGGAAACCAAGCGCAGAGUGCAAAGGCAAAAGGGUGUUUGACUGCGAGACCUACAAGUCGAGCAGGGACGAAAGUCGGGCUUAGUGAUCCGGCGGUGCUGAAUGGAAAGGCCGUCGCUCAACGGAUAAAAGCUACCCUGGGGAUAACAGGCUGAUCUCCCCCAAGAGUUCACAUCGACGGGGAGGUUUGGCACCUCGAUGUCGGCUCAUCGCAUCCUGGAGCUGAAGUCGGUUCCAAGGGUUGGGCUGUUCGCCCAUUAAAGCGGUACGCGAGCUGGGUUCAGAACGUCGUGAGACAGUUCGGUCCCUAUCUGUCGUGGGCGCAGGAAAUUUGAGAAGAGCUGUCCUCAGUACGAGAGGACCGGGAUGGACGCAUCAAUGGUGGACCAGUUGUCACGCCAGUGGCAUAGCUGGGUAGCUAAAUGCGGAAGGGAUAAACGCUGAAGGCAUCUAAGUGUGAAACCCACUUCAAGAUGAGAUUUCCCAUUGC
This 2719-nucleotide ribosomal RNA is filed under the name human gut metagenome. RNAcentral describes it as "bacterial LSU rRNA". It matches the Rfam family "Bacterial large subunit ribosomal RNA". The record is from RNAcentral.